AAUGGAGUGGUUUGGAUUCUGUGAUUCUGUGAAGGCUCUUCCUGCAACACAGACAGCACUCAGCUGCUCACCCAGGUUCUUCUUGCUCAAGGGGCAGAGGGCUGCUUUUCCAUGAGCAUAAGGGCUGUUGUUCCUGAGUUCUGUGUAGCCAUGGUGAGCUCUGUGGUCAUGUAAACAUUACACAAUGGAGAUCCCCCGCUGGCUGAGGGCAGCAGAGGCACUACAGGGCUCCUCCUCUUUGGAUUGCUCUUCCUAGGGGAGUGCAGCACUUCAUGAAAUCACGACAGCAAGCUCUGGAGGUGCCAGCAAGCCUGCAGCCCUCUCAGCAUUACGCUUGCAUUGCUGAGAAGAUGGGUCACAUUUCUGGGAAUCCACCCUGACCUCCUCUGGUGAUGCUCUCUGAGGAUAGAGACAGGGAACAAAUAGAUGCUUCUUACCCAGCUGCUGGUUCCACUUGAGGAACUUCACAACUCUGGGUGAUUAACAAGCUCCUGGAUGCUUGCAUGUGGGGCCUUCCCUUCUGGACAGACCUCCAGGAGAUACGGUCAGGACAAGGUGAUGGUGUGGGCAGCACCUGCUGGGGGUAAUGGGGCAGGAAGAAGGAGCAGAGAGAGCACUCUGGAUCUUCCCUCAUUCCUAAGGGUUGACAGCAGGACACAUAUCCAGCACAAGUCCUCGUUGUGCUCCUUGACUCGGGGGCAAUAUGGCUUACAGGAAGAAAAAAAUAUAGGCAGACAUCUUUAGCCCUUCGCGAGAAGAUAGCUGCUGGCUGGCCUGGUGGGAAGCGAUGUGCCAGGGAGAAGUAAAAUGAGAUGAAAGCUCUGCCAGCAUGUCACCACGAGUGCUUCUGUAGAAACAGUACGAGUACGAUGAGCAAACCUUUGACCGCCUAUUGGAAACAGAUUUUUCUCGACACAGAAGCAAUCCCUUUGGAACGAGAGCCCUGACCAAAGCUGGGCGUCAGAGAAGGGCUUACAGCGAGUUGUGGGGAGGAAGGAAACCCGCCAGUGGGACAGACAGCAUUGCCUUUUGUUUUAGUUUGUAGCGCUGAUUGUUGACUCCUUUUUGAUUUCACAAGAAUCUCUGGAUUUUGUCAACUUCCUUCAGAGAUUUUGCUGGGAAAAAAAAUGGUAACUGUGCUUAAUGUUCUCCUUUCUCAACAAAACCACUCAACUUUUUCAUUCAAAUCAAAAUUUUCCAUGGACAGCAAUGCGUGUUCCCCAACCAGCAGCAUAAACACAUUGGGCACUGCAUUACUCUCUAGAUAUUUGUAUUCCAGCAGCAAGAACUCAGGUCAGAGUCUUUUUCUGCUGGACCUCACGAAGCAAGAGACAACCUUACUCUGAAGACUUUGUAAUCAGAAUGGAAAAGACAGAGGACAAAAGAAAUGAAGGAAAAAAAAAUACUAUAAAUAUGCUUUAACAGAUGGAGCACUGAGGUGGCAGAAGAUGAAGUGAUUCUUUUGACGUCAUAAUCAUAGGAAAUCUAAGCCAAAAUGAAGAACUAAAUCCAUCCCUCUUGGAAGGCUCAGCACAUAUCUUUAACCACAGUCCAUCCUUUCCCUCCA
Molecule: non-coding RNA, 1567 nt
Organism: Phasianus colchicus (ring-necked pheasant)
Lineage: Eukaryota; Metazoa; Chordata; Aves; Galliformes; Phasianidae
Source: RefSeq, a predicted model, not a curated record